This 404-nucleotide ribosomal RNA is filed under the name Verrucomicrobiota bacterium. Its description in RNAcentral is "Verrucomicrobia bacterium partial 16S ribosomal RNA". It matches the Rfam family "Bacterial small subunit ribosomal RNA", at positions 355 to 776 of the family's 1533-position model. The record is from RNAcentral. Lineage: Bacteria; Pseudomonadati; Verrucomicrobiota.
UGGGGAAUAUUGCACAAUGGGGGAAACCCUGAUGCAGCGACGCCGCGUGAGCGAAGAAGGCCUUCGGGUCGUAAAGCUCUUUUAUGAGGGAAGAUAAUGACGGUACCUCAAGAAAAAGCCCCGGCUAACUACGUGCCAGCAGCCGCGGUAAUACGUAGGGGGCUAGCGUUGUCCGGAAUCACUGGGCGUAAAGGGUUCGCAGGCGGAAUAACAAGUCAGAUGUGAAAGGCAUGGGCUCAACCCAUGUAAGCAUUUGAAACUGUAAUUCUUGAGAAGUGGAGAUGUAAGUGGAAUUCCUAGUGUAGCGGUGAAAUGCGUAGAUAUUAGGAGGAAUACCUGUGGCGAAGGCGACUUACUGGACACAAAUCUGACGCUGAGGAACGAAAGCGUGGGUAGCAAACAGG